Molecule: ribosomal RNA, 429 nt
Filed under: Gemmatimonadota bacterium
Lineage: Bacteria; Pseudomonadati; Gemmatimonadota
Description: Gemmatimonadetes bacterium partial 16S ribosomal RNA
Rfam family: Bacterial small subunit ribosomal RNA
Source: RNAcentral
UAGGGAAUCUUCGGCAAUGGACGAAAGUCUGACCGAGCAACGCCGCGUGAGUGAAGAAGGUUUUCGGAUCGUAAAACUCUGUUGUUAGAGAAGAACAAGGACGUUAGUAACUGAACGUCCCCUGACGGUAUCUAACCAGAAAGCCACGGCUAACUACGUGCCAGCAGCCGCGGUAAUACGUAGGUGGCAAGCGUUGUCCGGAAUUAUUGGGCGUAAAGCGAGCGCAGGCGGUUUCUUAAGUCAGAUGUGAAAGCCCCCGGCUCAACCGGUGAGGGUCAUUAGAAACUAUGCAACGUGAGUGCAGGAGAGGAUGGUGGAAUUCCGGUUGUAGCGAUGAAAUGCAUAGAUAUAUGGAGGAACACCAGUGGCGAAGGCGGCUCUCUAGUCUAUAACUGACGAUGAGGCUCGAAAGCGUGGGGAGCAAACAGG